AACAUGACUCUCGGCAACGGAUAUCUCGGCUCCCGCAUCGAUGAAGAACGUAGCGAAAUGCGAUACCUGGUGUGAAUUGCAGAAUCCCGUGAACCAUCGAGUCUUUGAACGCAAGUUGCGCCCGAGGCCAUCCGGUCGAGGGCACGCCUGCCUGGGCGUCACGC
This 164-nucleotide ribosomal RNA is filed under the name Raddia maculata. RNAcentral's name for it is "Sucrea maculata 5.8S ribosomal RNA". It matches the Rfam family "5.8S ribosomal RNA". From Rfam's summary of the family: 5.8S ribosomal RNA (5.8S rRNA) is a component of the large subunit of the eukaryotic ribosome. It is transcribed by RNA polymerase I as part of the 45S precursor that also contains 18S and 28S rRNA. Lineage: Eukaryota; Viridiplantae; Streptophyta; Magnoliopsida; Poales; Poaceae. The record is from RNAcentral.